RNAcentral lists this ribosomal RNA (483 nucleotides) under uncultured bacterium. RNAcentral describes it as "partial 16S ribosomal RNA". It matches the Rfam family "Bacterial small subunit ribosomal RNA", at positions 29 to 523 of the family's 1533-position model. The record is from RNAcentral.
AGUGAACGCUGGCGGCGUGCUUAACACAUGCAAGUCGAACGAGAACGGGUUAUAGCUUGCUAUAAUUGUCAGCUAAGUGGCGCACGGGUGAGUAAUGUAUAGGUAAUAUGCCUCUUACUAAGGGAUAACAAAUGGAAACGUUUGCUAAUACCUUAUACUCCUUAUUAACAUAAGUUAAUAAGGGAAAGAUUUAUAGGUAAGAGAUUAGCCUGUAUUGUAUCAGUUAGUUGGUGGGGUAAUGGCUUACCAAGACUAUGACACAUAACUGGUUUGAGAGGAUGAUCAGUCACACUGGAACUGAGACACGGUCCAGACUCCUACGGGAGGCAGCAGUGGGGAAUAUUGCACAAUGGACGAAAGUCUGAUGCAGCAACGCCGCGUGAGGAUGACACAUUUCGGUGCGUAAACUCCCUUUAUAUGAGAAGAUAAUGACGGUAUUAUAUGAAUAAGCACCGGCUAACUCCGUGCCAGCAGCCGCCGUAA